AUGUCAGAUUGAGUUAGACUUUAAUGUCAGAACUCAUAGCUUACUAUCAUUUUUGUCCACAGGAGACUAGUUACUACAUGUCAUAAUGAAUCAUCUCUUUGUUCCUCAGGAUUUUGCCAUCACGACAAAGGGAGCCACAAUGCAGGUUUCAGUGGAGAGAUGGAAGGCAGCCAACAUCUGCACUGUUGUGGAAAUGUGUCUUACAAGAUCUCAGAAAGUUCCUGCUGCAAUGGAAAUUUAACCCUAGGAUUAAGCCAGCUGGUGGCUGACUGCUGUGAUUCUGUAGCUUACAAUCCCCUUAACGAGAUUUGCUGUGGUGGCAGCAUACUGACACGAAGCAGCACUCACAUGAAAUGCUGUGGCAAAGUCAUGUACCUGACAACGACUCAUUUGUGUUGUGAUGACAUAAUACUUGAAUGGAAGGAAAAUCAUUCUUGUUGUGGAAAUAAAACGUAUGACAUGACAACCCACUACUGCUGCACUAACCUUACACUAGAAGUAAAGCCUUAUAAUGAAACUUGCUGUCCAAAAG
This is a long non-coding RNA of Carassius carassius (crucian carp), 532 nucleotides long. RefSeq lists it as uncharacterized. The record is from RefSeq and is a predicted model, not a curated record. Lineage: Eukaryota; Metazoa; Chordata; Actinopteri; Cypriniformes; Cyprinidae. The transcript has 4 exons.